Molecule: long non-coding RNA, 1027 nt
Organism: Papaver somniferum (opium poppy)
Lineage: Eukaryota; Viridiplantae; Streptophyta; Magnoliopsida; Ranunculales; Papaveraceae
Exons: 3
Source: RefSeq, a predicted model, not a curated record
GCACCCAUUAAAUUACGAUAACUACUCCUCGAGCAUGACGAUUUAUUUUGGUGUUGCGCCAUGAAUUUCUCCCAUCAGUCUCUGAACAUUUACUUCGUGUAUCUUCCUCCCUAAUUUCCUAUCUUUCCUGUUUAUCUCUCCUCUCUCUUUCUCAGAAAAAACUACCUUUCAUCCAUCUGCUUCAGGAAAAUACCACCAUGAUGAACUUCAUGAUCGUACCAAAACAUACGUAACAUGAAUAUCAUUCGAGAUUGGAUAGACAUAUGGGCGGGUUGAUGCUGCGUACAUAUCAAGAUGUGAUGCAUAGAUGGGGUAGUUGAUGCUAUUAACAUCUCAAGAGUCGGAUCUAAAAGGUCCUGGAACCUCCUCUAUUUCUCUCCAUCAUCAACAAACCACCUCAACCUUGUUGAAUGAAUCGGGAACCUAUGACUCAAGUUUUGGUAGUAUCAUGUUUCUUGAUCCUAUUUACAUGUGAGAGUUAAAUGAAGAUUAUGUAUUGGUUAAUUCAAAUUCAGAAACCAAACGAAGACUUCUCUUCAGAUCGAAGGCCCAAUUGCUGAUACAUGAAGAAAGAAGUCAAUCAGAUAGGCCAAUGAACAUACACUUUCUCCAUGAAAACAAGUUGCAAGAGAAAAGCCAAGCGUAACAUGAUAUCAGGCUGUCCUUGGCUAAUCAGUGAACUCAAGCUUGUGCCAACAAUGGCAAAGCAGCAAAAUCAGGCCAACUGGACUCAUACAAAAAUGACAGUCAAGUUGUUAACAUGGAGGCUGUUGUCCAUCUCAAACACAAUCAAGUCAAUAUCAACAAUGACAUAUAAUGGCAAAAGCAUGGUGACAGGUCCUAUUCAAGUUCAGCCACAAUAAGGUCAAUAGUUCUUGUAAGGGAGAAAGUAGUAAAAGUAGUAUUAUUGAAAUGGGAAAAAUAUCGUUUUGGCCAUUGUUUAGAUGGGCCCAUGUCUGUUUGGUCCUUUAGGAAAACGCCUUUACUGUUUGGUCCAUAAUUAUUUAAAAAUAUUAAACUGACAAAA